UGGGGAAUUUUGCGCAAUGGGGGAAACCCUGACGCAGCAACGCCGCGUGGGUGAUGUCAGUGCAUUCGGGUCGUAAAGCCCUGUCGGGAGGGAAGAAAUGAUUGUGAGCUAAUACCUCGUGAUCUUGACGGUACCUCCGAAGGAAGCACCGGCUAACUCCGUG
RNAcentral lists this ribosomal RNA (163 nucleotides) under uncultured bacterium. RNAcentral's name for it is "partial 16S ribosomal RNA". It matches the Rfam family "Bacterial small subunit ribosomal RNA", at positions 355 to 507 of the family's 1533-position model. The record is from RNAcentral.